AUGCACUCUCUCCUCCCUCUCCCCGACCCUUUUCCUCUGGCUUUCACGGCGGCACUCUCUCCACUUCCUCUGGCCAAGGGUCUCGAAGCCUCUCCUCGCGCCAUGGCACCACGCGCACAGAAGCAGCUGUUCCCCGCCGAUGCAGUGAGCAGUGACCACGAUCUCCAUUCCACGGCGUCGUCGAUUAGCAAUGCAAAGCGCUCUGUCGUUGUUAGGCCAAGGGCUCUGCUUAGUGUUGUCCUUGCUGAAGUUGGCUUGCCCGAGGUGAAAUACAAGACCUACGCAGCACGCGGUGGCUGUUUUGCUGCUACAGCAUAUUUCUGGCCAUCACCGUCGGGUUCAUCUGCGGCAGGGCCGCAUAUGAGGCUGAAUGGUGAACCAGUUGUGGAUGCUCAGGAGGCCAUACAGAAUGCUGCUACCCUGUGCUUGGAGAACCUUCAAGACAGUAUGGAUAUUGAGUUUGACUGUCCCCGGGUGAAAAAAAUGAAGACUGAUAAGAGGUACCUGUUGAACAGCAUUGCUGGGAAGGACAGGGAAAUCAAAGAUCUAGAGACUAAACUGGAGAAAAGGAAAAUGCAGGUCAAUGGGCUUGGCAAAGGGUGGAGGUCAUUUGCACAGGAUGUGCGUCGUUCUGCGGGGCGUAUUGACAAGAUAGCCGUGAACUACCUGCCUACAGCGUCCGAUACUAUGGAAGGUGAUGUGGCCUGGGAGUGCUACCAUCUGACCCAGGAAACCGAUGACCUCUGCUAUCUAGCUGCAAUGUCCACCGAUGCAGUCAAUACAGUCGGUACUUAUCCUUGUGAUCCGGAGUCUGACUGCUCUGGGUAUGACCAGUUUCCUGAUUGCAUCCAUCAAACCACUAUGACACCGGCGAUGGUUACUUCUCGUCCGGUUACUCGUAUGAAAUUGAGCUGUGGUGAAUGCUACUAA
RNAcentral lists this ribosomal RNA (930 nucleotides) under Triticum aestivum (bread wheat). RNAcentral describes it as "partial small subunit ribosomal RNA". Lineage: Eukaryota; Viridiplantae; Streptophyta; Magnoliopsida; Poales; Poaceae. The record is from RNAcentral.